Dreissena polymorpha is the source of this 861-nucleotide long non-coding RNA. RefSeq lists it as uncharacterized. NCBI's taxonomy places the organism in Eukaryota, Metazoa, Mollusca, Bivalvia, Myida, Dreissenidae. The record is from RefSeq and is a predicted model, not a curated record. The transcript is spliced from 3 exons.
CCUGGAUGCUGUCACGACUCACACAUUCUUCGGAUGUCUAACAUUGGACAGCAUUUGGCCAGUCACCAUCAAGAUCCUGAGCGUGGAUAUUAACUGGGUGGCAGCGGUUAUCCGUGUCGUCCUUUUUUAUGACUCCCUUCCUGCAGCCAGGUAAAGCGAGUUCACAUUUAAUUAACAAUGAACAACUGUUUCUAAGACGUAUUUAUUUUAUUUGUGUAUCAUGGUACCGUUUUACUAAACUACUAACGCAAGCCUUAGACUUGCGCACAUAUCCUGACAGUCCAGAAACAAGGAGGAUCCAACUUUUGCCGCUUCAAUAAGUGGGACCAAGUCCACAAGCGCAUCGUAGGCAGCCUGGGAUGAUAAAUCUGAAACAAAUGAAUCCAAGUGUUUACCAAAUGUUUUGUAAGCAAAAGUGGGAAAAUGCUACGAUGUUUCGAAAACUUUGAUUAAAGACUUCUUUGUAAUUACAGUGUAUCAAAUUUAUUUGAACAACACGUACCUCCAAAUAUAGCAGUGUCAGCAUCAUCGCUAACACCGUGAAAACUGGCGAAGGCCGCGAAUAGCUCCGACACUGCCGCCGAUGUCUUCGUCAUUUCUGGCAGCUUUCUGCCGCCGCUAGAACCAGCCAACCCUAGCUUCUGAUGCCCCCAGGGAAUUUUUGCAUCGACAUCAUGCAUCCACUGCUUACACUGGGUGAAAACCAUAUGGUUGCUGCAAUAAAGGAUCUCCUGAGAGAAGAAGCUGGCAAUCCAGAUUAUAUAUUAUUGUUAUUAUCAUAAAUGUUUGAAUAAUGAUGAAAUUACUUUGACACUGAAUUUGAAUAUCAUUUGAAUAUCAGCUGUUUGUGCAAUCACUGAU